AGAAACAACAAGUUUUGUAUAAUGGCAAUGUAUACUUUUAUUCUCCAUAUGUCACUAAAUCUCAGACAACAACAGUAACUACCACAAACACUGCCAUGAGUCCUACAGCAAAUCUCCAAAACCAGUCUCCCAGAGUGACAGAACAAUUACAUACGGACCAUAUGAACAAAGGGAAGCAUUUGCUGAGGCAGAAUUGAGAGUACACUAUGAAAACAAUUCUCCUUUCCUGACUGUCACCAAUUUGGAAAGGAUCAUAGAAAUUUCACACUGGGGAAACAUAGCUGUUGAGGAACACAUUAAUCUGAGACACACAGGAGCUCUGCUGAAGGGACCGUUCUCCAGAUAUGACUAUCAAAGAUCUCAAGAUGGACUGUCAUCAAUCAAAUCAUUUAAGACAGUUCUUCCUGCCUCUGCCCGAGAUGUUUACUAC
Long non-coding RNA from Saccostrea cuccullata (small rock oyster), 430 nucleotides. RefSeq lists it as uncharacterized. The transcript has 3 exons. The record is from RefSeq and is a predicted model, not a curated record. NCBI's taxonomy places the organism in Eukaryota, Metazoa, Mollusca, Bivalvia, Ostreida, Ostreidae.